CAGUAGCCGCGGUAAUACGUAUGUCACGAGCGUUAUCCGGAUUUAUUGGGCGUAAAGCGCGUCUAGGUGGUUAUAUAAGUCUGAUGUGAGAAUGCAGGGCUCAACUCUGUAUUGCGUUGGAAACUGUAUAACUAGAGUGCUGGAGAGGUAAGCGGAACUACAAGUGUAGAGGUGAAAUUCGUAGAUAUUUGUAGGAAUGCCGAUGGGGAAGCCAGCUUACUGGACAGAUACUGACGCUGAAGCGCGAAAGCGUGGGUAGCAAACAGGAUUAGAUACCCGCGUAGUCCCUGUCUCUUAUACA
RNAcentral lists this ribosomal RNA (301 nucleotides) under uncultured bacterium. Its description in RNAcentral is "partial 16S ribosomal RNA". It matches the Rfam family "Bacterial small subunit ribosomal RNA", at positions 509 to 808 of the family's 1533-position model. The record is from RNAcentral.